UACGGAGGGUGCGAGCGUUAAUCGGAAUUACUGGGCGUAAAGGGUGCGUAGGUGGUAUAUUAAGUUAUCUGUGAAAUUCCUGGGCUCAACCUGGGCGUGUCAGAUAAGACUGAUAGACUUGAGUAUGGGAGAGGGUAGUGGAAUUUCCGGUGUAGCGGUGAAAUGCGUAGAGAUCGGAAGGAACACCGGUGGCGAAGGCGGCUACCUGGCCUAAUACUGACACUGAGGCACGAAAGCGUGGGGAGCAAACAGG
Molecule: ribosomal RNA, 253 nt
Filed under: uncultured bacterium
Lineage: Bacteria
Description: partial 16S ribosomal RNA
Rfam family: Bacterial small subunit ribosomal RNA
Source: RNAcentral